UAGCUAGUUGGUGAGGUAAUGGCCCACCAAGGCGACGAUCGGUAGCCGGACUGAGAGGUUGAACGGCCACAUUGGGACUGAGACACGGCCCAGACUCCUACGGGAGGCAGCAGUGGGGAAUAUUGCACAAUGGGGGAAACCCUGAUGCAGCGACGCCGCGUGGAGGAAGAAGGUCUUCGGAUUGUAAACUCCUGUUGUUGAGGAAGAUAAUGACGGUACUCAACAAGGAAGUGACGGCUAACUACGUGCCAGCAGCCGCGGUAAAACGUAGGUCACAAGCGUUGUCCGGAAUUACUGGGUGUAAAGGGAGCGCAGGCGGGCGAUCAAGUUGGAAGUGAAAUCCAUGGGCUCAACCCAUGAACUGCUUUCAAAACUGAUUGUCUUGAGUAGUGCAGAGGUAGGCGGAAUUCCCGGUGUAGCGGUGGAAUGCGUAGAUAUCGGGAGGAACACCAGUGGCGAAGGCGGCCUACUGGGCACCAACUGACGCUGAGGCUCGAAAGUGUGGGUAGCAAACAGGAUUAGAUACCCUGGUAGUCCACACCGUAAACGAUGAUUACUAGGUGUUGGAGGAUUGACCCCUUCAGUGCCGCAGUUAACACAAUAAGUAAUCCACCUGGGGAGUACGACCGCAAGGUUGAAACUCAAAGGAAUUGACGGGGGCCCGCACAAGCAGUGGAGUAUGUGGUUUAAUUCGACGCAACGCGAAGAACCUUACCAAGUCUUGACAUCCUGCGACGAUGCUAGAAAUAGUAUUUUCCUUCGGGACGCAGAGACAGGUGGUGCAUGGUUGUCGUCAGCUCGUGUCGUGAGAUGUUGGGUUAAGUCCCGCAACGAGCGCAACCCUUGUGGUCAGUUACUACGCAAGAGGACUCUGGCCAGACUGCCGUUGACAAAACGGAGGAAGGUGGGGAUGACGUCAAAUCAUCAUGCCCUUUAUGACUUGGGCUACACACGUACUACAAUGGCGUUAAACAAAGAGAAGCAAGACCGCGAGGUGGAGCAAAACUCAGAAACAACGUCCCAGUUCGGACUGCAGGCUGCAACUCGCCUGCACGAAGUCGGAAUUGCUAGUAAUCGUGGAUCAGCAUGCCACGGUGAAUACGUUCCCGGGCCUUGUACACACCGCCCGUCACACCAUGAGAGCCGGGGGGACCCGAAGUCGGUAGUCUAACCGCAAGGAGGACGCCGCCGAAGGUAAAACUGGUGAUUGGGGUGAAGUCGUAACAAGGUAGCCGUACUAGUACGGGGUUCG
This 1252-nucleotide ribosomal RNA is filed under the name metagenome. RNAcentral describes it as "bacterial SSU rRNA". It matches the Rfam family "Bacterial small subunit ribosomal RNA", at positions 242 to 1524 of the family's 1533-position model. The record is from RNAcentral.